The sequence is a transfer RNA, 89 nucleotides long. It matches the Rfam family "tRNA". From Rfam's summary of the family: Transfer RNA (tRNA) molecules are approximately 80 nucleotides in length. Their secondary structure includes four short double-helical elements and three loops (D, anti-codon, and T loops). Further hydrogen bonds mediate the characteristic L-shaped molecular structure. tRNAs have two regions of fundamental functional importance: the anti-codon, which is responsible for specific mRNA codon recognition, and the 3' end, to which the tRNAs corresponding amino acid is attached (by aminoacyl-tRNA synthetases). tRNAs cope with the degeneracy of the genetic code in two manners: having more than one tRNA (with a specific anti-codon) for a particular amino acid; and 'wobble' base-pairing, i.e. permitting non-standard base-pairing at the 3rd anti-codon position.
GGAGAGGUGGCUGAGCGGUCGAAGGCGAUGGAUUGCUAAUCCAUUAUACGGGUAAAACCGUAUCGAGGGUUCGAAUCCCUCCCUCUCCG